Molecule: unclassified non-coding RNA, 328 nt
Filed under: soil metagenome
Description: partial contains 5.8S ribosomal RNA, internal transcribed spacer 2, and large subunit ribosomal RNA
Rfam family: 5.8S ribosomal RNA (bases 1-120)
Source: RNAcentral
GAUGAAGAACGCAGCGAAAUGCGAUAAGUAAUGUGAAUUGCAGAAUUCAGUGAAUCAUCGAAUCUUUGAACGCACAUUGCGCCCCUUGGUAUUCCGAGGGGCAUGCCUGUUCGAGCGUCAUUAUAACCCUCAAGCUCAGCUUGGUGUUGGGGCCUGCUGCACUGGCAGCCCUUAAAAUCAGUGGCGGCGCCAUCUGGCUCUAAGCGUAGUAAUUCUUCUCGCUAUGGAGUCCUGGUGGAUGCUUGCCAUCAACCCCCAAUUUUUCUAUGGUUGACCUCGGAUCAGGUAGGAAUACCCGCUGAACUUAAGCAUAUCAAUAAGCGGAGGA